This 66-nucleotide transfer RNA is filed under the name Dilophotes sp. Jb LB-2014. RNAcentral describes it as "tRNA-Phe". Lineage: Eukaryota; Metazoa; Arthropoda; Insecta; Coleoptera; Lycidae. The record is from RNAcentral.
UAUUUUAAUAGCUUAUUAGAGCAUAAUAUUGAAGAUAUUAAGGAGGUCAGUAUGAUCUUAAAGUAU